This 465-nucleotide ribosomal RNA is filed under the name uncultured bacterium. Its description in RNAcentral is "partial 16S ribosomal RNA". It matches the Rfam family "Bacterial small subunit ribosomal RNA", at positions 338 to 795 of the family's 1533-position model. The record is from RNAcentral.
CCUACGGGAGGCAGCAGUGGGGAAUAUUGCGCAAUGGGCGAAAGCCUGACGCAGCGACGCCGCGUGAGGGAUGAAGGUCUUCGGAUCGUAAACCUCUGUCAGCAGGGCAGAACGGUCACUGUGCUAAUCAGCAGUGAAUUGACGGUACCUGCACAGGAAGCACCGGCUAACUCCGUGCCAGCAGCCGCGGUAAUACGGAGGGUGCGGGCGUUAAUCGGAAUUACUGGGCGUAAAGCGCUCGUAGGCGGUAUGUCAAGUCAAGGGUGAAAUCCCCGCGCUCAACGUGGGAACUGCCUUUGAAACUGGCAAACUGGAGUGUGUGAGAGGAUAGUGGAAUUCCAGGUGUAGGAGUGAAAUGCGUAGAUAUCUGGAGGAACAUCAGUGGCGAAGGCGACUAUCUGGCACAUAACUGACGCUGAGGAGCGAAAGCGUGGGUAGCAAACAGGAUUAGAUACCCCUGUAGUC